RNAcentral lists this long non-coding RNA (1010 nucleotides) under Sus scrofa (pig). RNAcentral describes it as "lncRNA (ENSSSCG00005014250.1)". Lineage: Eukaryota; Metazoa; Chordata; Mammalia; Artiodactyla; Suidae. The record is from RNAcentral.
GCCCACCAAUGAGUGAUCAGAGAGACAGAGGAACAACGAGAACAAGAUACCAUGACUUUUUUUUUUUUAAUGUUUCAAGGAAAAGGAAGUGCUUACAAUAUCAAAGAUCACGGAGCAAUCUAGGAAAGUGAGGAGCUGCGAAGAGUCCGGACAUGGCACAGGCCAGACCCCGGUGAUUCCGGAUAGACGCGGGUUCCAUGGAGAGAGAAGUUUGGAAGCCACGCCAGAGAGCUGAAAAAUAAAGGUCGAGGGUGUCCCCCGCUGGCUAUGGCCUGGCCCCUUGUGAGAUCUGCCGAGCUGUUGAAGGCUGGAGACCCCAUCCUGCAUGCCAGGCUGUGUCAGGGAUCGCCAAGGCAACUCUCAGGUUUGAUGAUGCUCUCGAAGGACUUACGGAACUCAAGAAGCUGUUACACUUUUUCUCAGUCUAUACUGUGAUACAGGUUAAAAUCGGCAAAGGAAUAAGGGACAGAGGGCAGAGUCCAAGAAAAACCAAGCAUGAGUGUCCAGAUCCUCUCCGAGUGGAAUCAGAGGGAAUAGCUCUUGUUGGUCCCAGCAACAGCACACGUAUGAAGUAUUGCCAGUCAGCAAAGCUCCCCUGAGACUUGGUAUUGAGGAUUUAACUGGGGGGGUCUUGUAGGCAUGAAGCACCCACAUGACUGACCUUCACCCCCAGCCCAUACCCCUCAAGAAGUCAAACUCAUUGAGGAUGGCCCAAGGCUCCAGGCAAAUAAAAACAAGCAUUCACCAUAAAUUUCACUGUUAGCACAAACUAUCCAACAUGGCCCCAGGCGUGCAAAGACACUCUUAGCAGCUGGACAUCCCAGUGGCUCCAAAGUUAGCUCCCAGGGGCUGGUCAAGGGCUCAUCUUGAAGACCUAGAACACGUGGGGUUUGGACAACCUAGACCUCCUGGGUUAAACUUUUGUGCACACCUGCCAUGACAGCUUCAUCUGCUGGGAAGCUCGCGGGAAGAAAAGACUUCUGAUUAAAUCCUAUUUCUUUCGUCUUUAU